Molecule: ribosomal RNA, 395 nt
Filed under: uncultured bacterium
Lineage: Bacteria
Description: partial 16S ribosomal RNA
Rfam family: Bacterial small subunit ribosomal RNA
Source: RNAcentral
CCUACGGGAGGCAGCAGUGAGGAAUAUUGGUCAAUGGUCGUGAGACUGAACCAGCCAAGUCGCGUGAGGGAUGAAGGUUCUAUGGAUCGUAAACCUCUUUUAUAAGGGAAUAAAGUCCGGGACGUGUCCCGUUUUGUAUGUACCUUAUGAAUAAGGAUCGGCUAACUCCGUGCCAGCAGCCGCGGUAAUACGGAGGAUCCGAGCGUUAUCCGGAUUUAUUGGGUUUAAAGGGUGCGUAGGCGGCCUUUUAAGUCAGCGGUGAAAGUCUGUGGCUCAACCAUAGCAUUGCCGUUGAAACUGGGAGGCUUGAGUAGGUGAGAGGCAUGCGGAAUGCGUGGUGUAGCGGUGAAAUGCUUAGAUAUCACGCAGAACCCCGAUUGCGAAGGCAGCCUGCC